GCCCGUUUAGCUCAGUGGUAGAGCGCGCCACUUGUACUCUUCAACGAGUAGAGAUGGUGAGGUCAGUUGUUCAAUCCAGCUAAUGGGCA
Abortiporus biennis is the source of this 89-nucleotide non-coding RNA. NCBI's taxonomy places the organism in Eukaryota, Fungi, Basidiomycota, Agaricomycetes, Polyporales, Podoscyphaceae. The record is from the annotation of a GenBank genome assembly.